RNAcentral lists this ribosomal RNA (463 nucleotides) under Lactobacillus gasseri. RNAcentral's name for it is "bacterial SSU rRNA". It matches the Rfam family "Bacterial small subunit ribosomal RNA", at positions 28 to 458 of the family's 1533-position model. The record is from RNAcentral. Lineage: Bacteria; Bacillati; Bacillota; Bacilli; Lactobacillales; Lactobacillaceae.
GACGAACGCUGGCGGCGUGCCUAAUACAUGCAAGUCGAGCGAGCUUGCCUAGAUGAAUUUGGUGCUUGCACCAAAUGAAACUAGAUACAAGCGAGCGGCGGACGGGUGAGUAACACGUGGGUAACCUGCCCAAGAGACUGGGAUAACACCUGGAAACAGAUGCUAAUACCGGAUAACAACACUAGACGCAUGUCUAGAGUUUAAAAGAUGGUUCUGCUAUCACUCUUGGAUGGACCUGCGGUGCAUUAGCUAGUUGGUAAGGUAACGGCUUACCAAGGCAAUGAUGCAUAGCCGAGUUGAGAGACUGAUCGGCCACAUUGGGACUGAGACACGGCCCAAACUCCUACGGGAGGCAGCAGUAGGGAAUCUUCCACAAUGGACGCAAGUCUGAUGGAGCAACGCCGCGUGGGUGAAGAAGGGUUUCGGCUCGUAAAGCUCUGUUGGUAGUGAAGAAAGAUAGAGG